GUUAUCAUCAUAAAAAUGUAUUUUCAUAAAUUAAGAGUCAUUCAUAAUUUAUUUAUUCAUUUCCAUUAAUUUAUUUGAUGUUCAACUUUUUUGUCUCAUUUCAUUGCCUAAAUAACCUAUAACAGACUGUUAAAAUUGGAUACUCGAGAAUAUAUUAAUUAGAUACCCCAUGUGCCUAUUAGGUAUACAUCGGUCAGGCAUAAAGCCAGCGGGUAGGCAUAAAAGCCAGUAUAAUCUGUCAGGCAAAAUUUGCUAGCG
This 258-nucleotide unclassified non-coding RNA is filed under the name Hevea brasiliensis (rubber tree). The record is from RNAcentral. Lineage: Eukaryota; Viridiplantae; Streptophyta; Magnoliopsida; Malpighiales; Euphorbiaceae.